GAAUUGCCUUACCGGAUCAGAUGAGUGAUCCAUCUAGCCCAUUAUCCUGUCUCUCUCAGUGGCCAGAAACAGGUCCUUAAAAGGAAGUUACGAGAAUCCCCUAAGUGGAGAAUUAUGGCACAACAGAGCUUGUACAAUGAGCAAGGCCAUUUCCUGCCAACAUUCAGAUGGAAGACCAUCCCGUAAGAUGUAAGUGUUGCAGGAGCUAGUGUUGGCGAGCUGAUAGGCAGCACUCCUCCCCAAGUCAGUUCUGAACCAAUGAUCCAGCAUCACAUGAAGGGGCACUUCGCAUCUCUCAGAUGAAGUCCAACCUAAGGCUCUCUACACAGCCAUGGAAAACAAAUCACUAGCCAACAUAAACAGUCUGAAUAGCAUCUGGAAACCAAACCCACUGAAUUUCUCACAUGUUUUCACUUUCUAAUCACAAUUUUUUCAAAAUUUUAAAUGACAAAUGUGUACCAUAAAAUGUUCUUACAGAUCCAUCUAAA
Molecule: long non-coding RNA, 488 nt
Organism: Mauremys reevesii (Reeves's turtle)
Lineage: Eukaryota; Metazoa; Chordata; Testudines; Geoemydidae
Exons: 3
Source: RefSeq, a predicted model, not a curated record